AAGGAAGUUUCAAUCGGAGUUGUUGCAGUUUUUGAUGGUCAUAAUUUUGCUCUACAUACAUAUUUCCUUUGUAUUGAAGACGCAGUUAAGUAGGCUGCCAAAUGUAGGAGAAGGAUAUAUUGUUUCCAAGUGCUUAAUUGGGACAAAGAGAUCGGAAAGCAUGGCUUGAACUUUGAAAGAUUUAAGUUCAGUCCCAGAUAAUCUUGAUGAUUCUUUUCACUUGGGUAUAUUGAAGGAAGCUUUGUAAUGGAAUUUAUAAGUGUUUUUUUUCUGAAUUCUCCUAAUAGUAUUUAUAAGCGCAACAAUGGCAGUUUAAUGGAAAAGUACCUAUUCCAGUUGGGACAGGAUCAAUCGCUACCAUGGGCAGUGGUAGACGAUAUUAACGAAAUAUUGUUCUCUUUUCAGAAAAGAUGAGGUCAUACACGGUCAGAAAGGCAAAUGAAGAAUUUUCGUAAUGUGUUGGAGGAAUGUGAAUUGACCAUUUGGGGUUUAAUGGCAGAUGGUGUACUUAUGAGAGAGGUAGGCUAGCCUCGAAUAAUAUUAGGGAGCGUCUAGACCAAAAAAGACAAGUUUGAUAUAUAUUAACGGAUAAAUUAUCUGUGGUUAUAGACUUAAUUGUAGUAUAAGGCUUUGUUUGGGGCGGCAGUGUAGUGUGAUUAGCUUACUUUUUAUCUCACGUUACAGUAUCAAUGUAAUUCCCUAAAUGCCCUCCUUGGAAAAUAAAAGGAAAUUUUUUUUUAA
This is a long non-coding RNA of Gossypium arboreum, 741 nucleotides long. RefSeq lists it as uncharacterized. NCBI's taxonomy places the organism in Eukaryota, Viridiplantae, Streptophyta, Magnoliopsida, Malvales, Malvaceae. The record is from RefSeq and is a predicted model, not a curated record. The transcript has 2 exons.